CCCCUWGUAACGGCGAGUGAAGCGGCAAGAGCUCAAAUUUGAAAUCUGGCUCCUCCGGGGUCCGAGUUGUAAUUUGCAGAGGAUGCUUCGGGUGCGGUCCCCGUCUAAGUACCCUGGAAUGGGUCGUCAUAGAGGGUGAGAAUCCCGUCUGGGACGGGUGGCCGUGUCCGUGUGAAGCUCCUUCGACGAGUCGAGUUGUUUGGGAAUGCAGCUCUAAAUGGGUGGUAAAUUUCAUCUAAAGCUAAAUAUUGGCCGGAGACCGAUAGCGCACAAGUAGAGUGAUCGAAAGAUGAAAAGCACUUUGAAAAGAGAGUUAAACAGCACGUGAAAUUGUUGAAAGGGAAGCGCUUGCGACCAGACUCGCCCGCGGGGGUUCAGCCGGUACUCGUACCGGUGUACUCCCCCGUGGGCGGGCCAGCGUCGGUUUGGGCGGCCGGUCAAAGGCCUCCGGAAUGUAUCGCCCUUCGGGGCGUCUUAUAGCCGGGGGUGCAAUGCGGCCAGCCUGGACCGAGGAACGCGCUUCGGCUCGGACGCUGGCGUAAUGGUCGUAAGCGGCCCGYCUUGAAACACGGACCCAA
Molecule: ribosomal RNA, 578 nt
Filed under: Paecilomyces variotii
Lineage: Eukaryota; Fungi; Ascomycota; Eurotiomycetes; Eurotiales; Thermoascaceae
Description: eukaryotic LSU rRNA
Rfam family: Eukaryotic large subunit ribosomal RNA
Source: RNAcentral